RNAcentral lists this ribosomal RNA (467 nucleotides) under uncultured bacterium. RNAcentral describes it as "partial 16S ribosomal RNA". It matches the Rfam family "Bacterial small subunit ribosomal RNA", at positions 28 to 506 of the family's 1533-position model. The record is from RNAcentral.
GACGAACGCUGGCGGCGUGCUUAACACAUGCGAGUCGAACGGAAAGGCCCUGCUUUUGUGGGGUGCUCGAGUGGCGAACGGGUGAGUAACACGUGAGUAACCUGCCCUUGACUUUGGGAUAACUUCAGGAAACUGGGGCUAAUACCGGAUAGGAGCUCCUGCUGCAUGGUGGGGGUUGGAAAGUUUCGGCGGUUGGGGAUGGACUCGCGGCUUAUCAGCUUGUUGGUGGGGUAGUGGCUUACCAAGGCUUUGACGGGUAGCCGGCCUGAGAGGGUGACCGGCCACAUGGGGAGUGGGUAAGGGCCCAGACCCCGACGGGGGGAAGCGGGGGGGAAGAUGGCACAAGGGGCGGAACCCUAAGGCAGCAACGCCGGGUGGGGGAAGACGGCCUUGGGGUGGGAACCCGCUUUCCCCGGGGACGAAGGGUGAGUAGCGGUAAUGGGGAAAGAAGCACCGGCCAACUAAGG